Molecule: long non-coding RNA, 460 nt
Organism: Pygocentrus nattereri (red-bellied piranha)
Lineage: Eukaryota; Metazoa; Chordata; Actinopteri; Characiformes; Serrasalmidae
Exons: 3
Source: RefSeq, a predicted model, not a curated record
CGUACUGACACUGAUACUGCUGGUGGUUAGCAGUCAGCUAGUCCUCCCAGACUGCCAUACAAGCACUUUCUGAAGGCCUUAUCUUAAACAACACGACAUGACAACAGCAUGAAAGUCCUCGGGGAAAUGCCACCAGGAAAGCAGCAGCAGCAGCGCCCCGUAAAACAUUUGUAAUCCUAAAGAUUUGUGGCGGAUCCUAAAGACAAGCGUAGAGAGGGGGAAAAAAUAAAAAAGCAAGUGGCUGUGCAUGCAUGGGAGAUCUGCGACGAAAAAGCCCACAUGAUCUGAUAGAGACUCACCUCCGACGUUGUAUCCGCAAGCGUUUGGAUCGCAGUAGCCCGGAGGUCCGGCAGGUCCUACUGGCCCAGGCAUGCCCGGCCUGCCUGAAGUUCCGGGGUUACCAGGGCGACCAGCAGGGCCUGGACCACCAGCCCUUCCCUCACCAGGUGGCCCUUAGAAA